This 251-nucleotide ribosomal RNA is filed under the name uncultured bacterium. Its description in RNAcentral is "partial 16S ribosomal RNA". It matches the Rfam family "Bacterial small subunit ribosomal RNA", at positions 525 to 775 of the family's 1533-position model. The record is from RNAcentral.
ACGUAGGGUGCAAGCGUUAAUCGGAAUUACUGGGCGUAAAGCGUGCGCAGGCGGUUGGGUAAGACAGAUGUGAAAUCCCCGGGCUUAACCUGGGAACUGCAUUUGUGACUGUCCGACUGGAGUACGUCAGAGGGGGGUGGAAUUCCGCGUGUAGCAGUGAAAUGCGUAGAUAUGCGGAAGAACACCGAUGGCGAAGGCAGCCCCCUGGGACGCAACUGACGCUCAUGCACGAAAGCGUGGGGAGCAAACAG